This 480-nucleotide ribosomal RNA is filed under the name Nitrosomonas oligotropha. RNAcentral's name for it is "partial 23S ribosomal RNA". It matches the Rfam family "Bacterial large subunit ribosomal RNA", at positions 2459 to 2925 of the family's 2925-position model. The record is from RNAcentral. Lineage: Bacteria; Pseudomonadati; Pseudomonadota; Betaproteobacteria; Nitrosomonadales; Nitrosomonadaceae.
AAAGGUACGCCGGGGAUAACAGGCUGAUUCCUCCCAAGAGUUCAUAUCGACGGGGGAGUUUGGCACCUCGAUGUCGGCUCAUCACAUCCUGGGGCUGUAGCCGGUCCCAAGGGUAUGGCUGUUCGCCAUUUAAAGUGGUACGUGAGCUGGGUUUAAAACGUCGUGAGACAGUUUGGUCCCUAUCUGCCGUGGGCGUUGGAAGUUUGAGAGGACCUGCUCCUAGUACGAGAGGACCGGAGUGGACGCACCUCUGGUGUACCGGUUAUGACGCCAGUCGUAUCGCCGGGUAGCUAUGUGCGGACGAGAUAACCGCUGAAAGCAUCUAAGCGGGAAACUCUCCUCAAGAUAAGACUUCCCGAGGGUAUAACCCUCCUAAAGGUUCGUCGAAGACUACGACGUUGAUAGGUCGGGUGUGGAAGCAUAGUAAUAUGUUAAGCUAACCGAUACUAAUUGACCGUGAGGCUUGAUCCUAUAACUUUG